CCUACGGGAGGCUGCAGUGGGGAAUAUUGGGCAAUGGGCGCAAGCCUGACCCAGCAACGCCGCGUGAAGGAAGAAGGCUUUCGGGUUGUAAACUUCUUUUCUCAGGGACGAAGCAAGCGACGGUACCUGAGGAAUAAGCCACGGCUAACUACGUGCCAGCAGCCGCGGUAAUACGUAGGCGGCAAGCGUUAUCCGGAUUUACUGGGUGUAAAGGGCGUGUAGGCGGGAAAGCAAGUCAGUUGUGAAAACCAUGGGCUCAACCUGUGGCCUGCAUUUGAAACUGUUUUUCUGGAGUGCUGGAGAGGUAGACGGAAUUCCUGGUGUAGCGGUGAAAUGCGUAGAGAUUAGGAGGAACACCAGUGGCGAAGGCGGUCUGCUGGACAGCAACUGACGCUGAGGCGCGAAAGCGUGGGGAGCAAACAGGAUUAGAUACCCCAGUAGUC
RNAcentral lists this ribosomal RNA (443 nucleotides) under uncultured bacterium. RNAcentral describes it as "partial 16S ribosomal RNA". It matches the Rfam family "Bacterial small subunit ribosomal RNA", at positions 338 to 795 of the family's 1533-position model. The record is from RNAcentral.